RNAcentral lists this ribosomal RNA (1237 nucleotides) under metagenome. Its description in RNAcentral is "bacterial LSU rRNA". It matches the Rfam family "Bacterial large subunit ribosomal RNA", at positions 1696 to 2925 of the family's 2925-position model. The record is from RNAcentral.
GAACUCAGGAGAAGGAACUCGGCAAAUUGACACCGUAACUUCGGAAGAAGGUGUGCCUUUAGUAGGUGAACCUGUACAAGGGGAGCCCAAUGAGGUUGCAAAAAAUCGGUGGCUGCGACUGUUUAAUAAAAACACAGCACUCUGCAAACACGAAAGUGGACGUAUAGGGUGUGACGCCUGCCCGGUGCUGGAAGAUUAAAUGAUGGGGUGCAAGCUCUUGAUUGAAGUCCCAGUAAACGGCGGCCGUAACAAUAACGGUCCUAAGGUAGCGAAAUUCCUUGUCGGGUAAGUUCCGACCUGCACGAAUGGCGUAACGAUGGCCACACUGUCUCCUCCUGAGACUCAGCGAAGUUGAAAUGUUUGUGAUGAUGCAAUCUCCCCGCGGAAAGACGGAAAGACCCCAUGAACCUUUACUGUAGCUUUGUAUUGGACUUUGAACAGAUCUGUGUAGGAUAGGUGGGAGGCUUUGAAGUGUGGUCGCUAGAUCGCAUGGAGCCAACGUUGAAAUACCACCCUGGUGUGUUUGAGGUUCUAACCUAGGCCCGUAAUCCGGGUCGGGGACAGUGCAUGGUAGGCAGUUUGACUGGGGCGGUCUCCUCCCAAAGCGUAACGGAGGAGUUCGAAGGUACGCUAGGUACGGUCGGACAUCGUGCUAAUAGUGCAAUGGCAUAAGCGUGCUUAACUGCGAGACUGACAAGUCGAGCAGAUGCGAAAGCAGGACAUAGUGAUCCGGUGGUUCUGUAUGGAAGGGCCAUCGCUCAACGGAUAAAAGGUACUCUGGGGAUAACAGGCUGAUACCGCCCAAGAGUUCAUAUCGACGGCGGUGUUUGGCACCUCGAUGUCGGCUCAUCUCAUCCUGGGGCUGUAGCCGGUCCCAAGGGUAUGGCUGUUCGCCAUUUAAAGAGGUACGUGAGCUGGGUUUAAAACGUCGUGAGACAGUUUGGUCCCUAUCUUCCGUGGGCGCUGCAGAUUUGAGGAAGCCUGCUCCUAGUACGAGAGGACCGGAGUGGACACACCUCUGGUGUAUCGGUUGUCACGCCAGUGGCAUUGCCGAGUAGCUAUGUGUGGAAGAGAUAACCGCUGAAAGCAUCUAAGCGGGAAACUCGUUUCAAGAUGAGAUCUGCCGGGGCCUUGAGCCCCCUAAAGAGUCGUUCAAGACCAGGACGUUGAUAGGUCGGGUGUGGAAGCGCAGUAAUGCGUUAAGCUAACCGAUACUAAUUGCUCGUGCGGCUUGACC